AAAGGGAGACCUAAUUCGGGUAUAAGACGAAAAAAUAGUAGUCGAAACCAAGAAUCAAUCCCAAAAGGUCGGAACGAGGUAUGUGGCUUUCAAACUAGGUUCUGGGUUCAUAAAAGACCUGAAUCAGGAACAAGGGCUAUUAGCUCAGGUGGUUAGAGCGCACCCCUGAUAAGGGUGAGGUCCCUGGUUCGAGUCCAGGAUGGCCCACCUGCACAGGUGGCAAAAACAAGAGAAGCGAGGAAUCAGCACCUUAUCCUAAUUUAUAUAUAGGAGAGAAUGCUGGCUCUGAGUAAAGAGUCCAGAGGAACCUUGAAAACUGCAUAGAGCUAGGUGAAAAAGCCAAAAAGGAAGACCGCAAG
This 359-nucleotide transfer RNA is filed under the name uncultured Microcystis sp. RNAcentral's name for it is "partial 16S-23S ribosomal RNA intergenic spacer". The stretch from base 134 to 207 matches the Rfam family "tRNA". The record is from RNAcentral. Lineage: Bacteria; Bacillati; Cyanobacteriota; Cyanophyceae; Chroococcales; Microcystaceae.